GGAAUAAAGUUUCUAAUAUUGUUCCUUUUACAUUACAUACUUAUUAAUGAAAGAACAAAAAUAGAUUUAAGAGGUUGAACUCAAUUAGUGUUCAACUUUCAUUUCAAGUUAUUUUACAUAGUGAACAUCUGAAUUUAGGGUUAUUCUUCAUGAAAAAUAUAGAUAUUUAUUUAUCCAAUGUUUGAGGAUGGCUUUAAUGUAAUGGUAAAGUU
Molecule: unclassified non-coding RNA, 212 nt
Filed under: Hevea brasiliensis (rubber tree)
Lineage: Eukaryota; Viridiplantae; Streptophyta; Magnoliopsida; Malpighiales; Euphorbiaceae
Source: RNAcentral